CCAAGGGUUCCUCAUUAAGGUGGGUGGAAUAGUAUAACAAUAUAACAUGUGUUGUUAUAGUAUUCCACCUUCCCUGAUGUGCCU
This is a microRNA precursor of Chlorocebus sabaeus (green monkey), 84 nucleotides long. Lineage: Eukaryota; Metazoa; Chordata; Mammalia; Primates; Cercopithecidae. The record is from Ensembl.